This 465-nucleotide ribosomal RNA is filed under the name uncultured bacterium. RNAcentral describes it as "partial 16S ribosomal RNA". It matches the Rfam family "Bacterial small subunit ribosomal RNA", at positions 28 to 507 of the family's 1533-position model. The record is from RNAcentral.
GAUGAACGCUGGCGGCGUGCUUAACACAUGCAAGUCGAACGGAAAGGCUCCUGCUUGCAGGGGUACUCGAGUGGCGAACGGGUGAGUAACACGUGGGUGAUCUGCCCUGCACUUCGGGAUAAGCCUGGGAAACUGGGUCUAAUACCGGAUAGGACGAUGGUUUGGAUGCCAUUGUGGAAAGUUUUUCGGUGUGGGAUGAGCUCGCGGCCUAUCAGCUUGUUGGUGGGGUAAUGGCCUACCAAGGCGUCGACGGGUAGCCGGCCUGAGAGGGUGUACGGCCACAUUGGGACUGAGAUACGGCCCAGACUCCUACGGGAGGCAGCAGUAGGGAAUAUUGCACAAUGGGCGCAAGCCUGAUGCAGCGACGCCGCGUGGGGGAUGACGGCCUUCGGGUUGUAAACUCCUUUCGCUAGGGACGAAGCGCAAGUGACGGUACCUGGAGAAGAAGCACCGGCUAACUACGUG